Molecule: ribosomal RNA, 253 nt
Filed under: uncultured prokaryote
Description: partial 16S ribosomal RNA
Rfam family: Bacterial small subunit ribosomal RNA
Source: RNAcentral
UACAGAGGUCUCAAGCGUUGUUCGGAUUCAUUGGGCGUAAAGGGUGCGUAGGCGGCGCGGUAAGUCGGGUGUGAAAUCUCGGGGCUUAACUCCGAAACUGCAUUCGAUACUGCGUGGCUAGAGUGCUGGAGAGGAGACUGGAAUUUACGGUGUAGCAGUGAAAUGCGUAGAUAUCGUAAGGAAGACCAGUGGCGAAGGCGAGUCUCUGGACAGCAACUGACGCUGAGGCACGAAGGCCAGGGGAGCAAACGGG